This 669-nucleotide ribosomal RNA is filed under the name uncultured Actinomycetales bacterium. RNAcentral describes it as "bacterial SSU rRNA". It matches the Rfam family "Bacterial small subunit ribosomal RNA", at positions 69 to 752 of the family's 1533-position model. Lineage: Bacteria; Bacillati; Actinomycetota; Actinomycetes; Actinomycetales. The record is from RNAcentral.
AAAGGCCCUGCUUGCAGGGUACUCGAGUGGCGAACGGGUGAGUAACACGUGGGUGAUCUGCCCUGCACUUCGGGAUAAGCCUGGGAAACUGGGUCUAAUACCGGAUAGGAGCCAUUUUUAGUGUGAUGGUUGGAAAGUUUUUUCGGUGUAGGAUGAGCUCGCGGCCUAUCAGCUUGUUGGUGGGGUAAUGGCCUACCAAGGCGGCGACGGGUGGCCGGCCUGAGAGGGUGGACGGCCACAUUGGGACUGAGAUACGGCCCGGACUCCUACGGGAGGCAGCAGUGGGGAAUAUUGCACAAUGGGCGCAAGCCUGAUGCAGCGACGCCGCGUGGGGGAUGACGGCCUUCGGGUUGUAAACUCCUUUCGCUAGGGACGAAGCUUUUUGUGACGGUACCUAGAUAAGAAGCACCGGCUAACUACGUGCCAGCAGCCGCGGUAAUACGUAGGGUGCGAGCGUUGUCCGGAAUUACUGGGCGUAAAGGGCUCGUAGGUGGUUUGUCGCGUCGUCUGUGAAAUUCCGGGGCUUAACUCCGGGCGUGCAGGCGAUACGGGCAUAACUUGAGUACUGUAGGGGUAACUGGAAUUCCUGGUGUAGCGGUGAAAUGCGCAGAUAUCAGGAGGAACACCGAUGGCGAAGGCAGGUUACUGGGCAGUUACUGACGCUGAGGA